GGGAUGUAGCUCAGUGACAGAGUGCAUGCCUAGCAUGCACGAGGUCUUGGGUUCCAUCCCCAGCCCUG
This 68-nucleotide transfer RNA is filed under the name Marmota monax (woodchuck). RNAcentral describes it as "tRNA.Ala". Lineage: Eukaryota; Metazoa; Chordata; Mammalia; Rodentia; Sciuridae. The record is from RNAcentral.